GACGAACGCUGGCGGCGUGCCUAAUACAUGCAAGUCGAACGCAGUGGGGACGGGUGAGUAACACGUGGGUAACCUCCCAUCAGAGGGGAUAACACUUGGAAACAGGUGCUAAACCGAUACUGAUGGAUGGACCCGCGGUGCAUUAGCUAGUUGGUGAGGUAACGGCUCACCAAGGCCACGAUGGAUAGCCGACCGGAGAGGGUGAACGGCCACACUGGGACUGGGACACGGCCCAGACUCCGACGGGAGGCAGCAGUAGGGAAUUUUCGGCAAUGAAGAAAAGUCUGACCGAGCAACGCCGCGUGAGUGAAGGAGGUUUUCGGAUCGUGAAACUCUGUUGUUAGAGAAUCGGUAUCUAACCAGAAAGCCACGGCUAACUACGUGCGAGCCGCCGCGGUAAUAC
Molecule: ribosomal RNA, 403 nt
Filed under: uncultured bacterium
Lineage: Bacteria
Description: partial 16S ribosomal RNA
Rfam family: Bacterial small subunit ribosomal RNA
Source: RNAcentral